RNAcentral lists this ribosomal RNA (422 nucleotides) under uncultured bacterium. Its description in RNAcentral is "bacterial SSU rRNA". It matches the Rfam family "Bacterial small subunit ribosomal RNA", at positions 355 to 774 of the family's 1533-position model. The record is from RNAcentral.
UGAGGAAUAUUGGUCAAUGGGGGCAACCCUGAACCAGCCAAGUCGCGUGAAGGAUGAAGGUCUUAUGGAUUGUAAACUUCUUUUAUACAGGAAUAAAUUGGGGGACGUGUCCCCUUUUGCAUGUACUGUAUGAAUAAGGAUCGGCUAACUCCGUGCCAGCAGCCGCGGUAAUACGGAGGAUCCGAGCGUUAUCCGGAUUUAUUGGGUUUAAAGGGUGUGCAGGCGGGAUGUUAAGUCGGCGGUGAAAUUUUGCAGCGCAACUGUAAAAGUGCCUUCGAUACUGGCUUCCUUGAGUGUAGAUGAAGUAGGCGGAAUUUGUGGUGUAGCGGUGAAAUGCUUAGAUAUCACAAGGAACUCCGAUUGCGCAGGCAGCUUACUAAACUACAACUGACGCUCAUGCACGAAGGCGUGGGGAUCAAACA